CCUACGGGUGGCAGCAGUGAGGAAUAUUGGUCAAUGGUCGGGAGACUGAACCAGCCAAGCCGCGUGAGGGAGGAAGGUACAGAGUAUCGUAAACCUCUUUUGUCAGGGAACAAAGACUGGGACGCGUCCCCGGAUGAGUGUACCUGAAGAAAAAGCAUCGGCUAACUCCGUGCCAGCCGCCGCGGUAAUACGGAGGAUGCGAGCGUUAUCCGGAUUUAUUGGGUUUAAAGGGUGUGCAGGCGGUCUGUUAAGUCAGCUGUCAAAGCCCGGGGCUCAACCUCUGCCUGCCGUUGAAACUGGCAGUCUCGAGUUGGAGAGAAGUAUGCGGAAGGCGCGGUGUAGCGUUGAAAUGCAUAGAUAUCGCGCAGAACUCCGAUUGCGAAGGCAGCAUGCCGGCUCCACACUGACGCUGAGGCACGAAAGCGUGGGUAUCGAACAGGAUUAGAUACCCCAGUAGUC
RNAcentral lists this ribosomal RNA (459 nucleotides) under uncultured bacterium. RNAcentral's name for it is "partial 16S ribosomal RNA". It matches the Rfam family "Bacterial small subunit ribosomal RNA", at positions 338 to 795 of the family's 1533-position model. The record is from RNAcentral.